UGGGGGAAUUUUGGACAAUGGGCGAAAGCCUGAUCCAGCAAUGCCGCGUGUGUGAAGAAGGCCUUCGGGUUGUAAAGCACUUUUGUCCGGAAAGAAAUCCUCUGGGUUAAUACCUCGGGGGGAUGACGGUACCGGAAGAAUAAGCACCGGCUAACUACGUGCCAGCAGCCGCGGUAAUACGUAGGGUGCAAGCGUUAAUCGGAAUUACUGGGCGUAAAGCGUGCGCAGGCGGUUUUGUAAGACGGAUGUGAAAUCCCCGGGCUUAACCUGGGAACUGCAUUCGUGACUGCAAGGCUAGAGUAUGGCAGAGGGGGGUUAGAAUUCCACGUGUAGCAGUGAAAUGCGUAGAGAUGUGGAGGAAUACCGAUGGCGAAGGCAGCCCCCUGGGCCAAUACUGACGCUCAUGCACGAAAGCGUGGGGAGCAAACAGGAUUAGAUACCCUGGUAGUCCACGCCCUAAACGAUGUCAACUAGUUGUUGGGGAUUCAUUUCCUUAGUAACGUAGCUAACGCGUGAAGUUGACCGCCUGGGGGAGUACGGUCGCAAGAUUAAAACUUAAAGGAAUUGACGGGGAUCAUAGCUGUUUCCU
RNAcentral lists this ribosomal RNA (589 nucleotides) under uncultured bacterium. Its description in RNAcentral is "partial 16S ribosomal RNA". It matches the Rfam family "Bacterial small subunit ribosomal RNA", at positions 354 to 1375 of the family's 1533-position model. The record is from RNAcentral.